This 301-nucleotide ribosomal RNA is filed under the name uncultured bacterium. RNAcentral describes it as "partial 16S ribosomal RNA". It matches the Rfam family "Bacterial small subunit ribosomal RNA", at positions 509 to 807 of the family's 1533-position model. The record is from RNAcentral.
CAGCAGCCACGGGAAUACGUAGGGUGCGAGCGUUAAUCGGAAUUACUGGGCGUAAAGCGUGCGCAGGCGGUUGUGUAAGACAGGUGUGAAAUCCCCGGGCUUAACCUGGGAACUGCGCUUGUGACUGCACAGCUAGAGUAUGGCAGAGGGAGGUGGAAUUCCACGUGUAGCAGUGAAAUGCGUAGAGAUGUGGAGGAACACCGAUGGCGAAGGCAGCCCCCUGGGCCAAUACUGACGCUCAUGCACGAAAGCGUGGGGAGCAAACAGGAUUAGAUACCCGCGUAGUCCCUGUCUCUUAUAC